GCAAACACCUUUUUCUUCACACCUCACUAGAGCAUUUCCCAGCCUUGUUCUCCUUAAUCAAACUCACCUGAAUAAAGUGACCAGGGCCACACUUCUCAAAAGCAUCGUGAGUGAAUUAUCAGAGAGACCAUCAGUGGCAAUAGCUCUACAAUCUACUGAAGCUUACCGUGCUUUUGGGAAACGCAGAUAGGUCAUUAGAAGAAACUCCAAGUCCUGAAACAGGUUACAGUUAGAGUUAGUCAUAUAUAAGAGAUGUUUAAAUGAGCAUCUGCUGACAUGUUUACUAAAGUAUCUGUGAAUAACUGUCAGUGCGGUCUCAGGUGUGAUCUCUGUGAAGCACUGGGCCGCGGCUGUGGAGAAGGUGCUGCGUCUGGGUCUGCCCUGGAGGGUCCUGAGGUCUCAGCUGGUGACCAGCAGCACACAGGACGGGACGCUGGACUAUCACGACUGGGUCAACCAGCUGUCCGUCAUCCAGCCCAACACCGAGGUUGCGAACACGAGCCUCCUGGAGACCCUCUACAAACAUCAUUCAAACCUGGAGAGCAUCUUCAGAAUGAUUGACACGGACCACUCAGGUCUGAUCUCGUUCGAGGAGUUUCGUCAGACGUGGAAGCUGCUGAGCUCUCACCUGCAGAUGGACAUCAGCGACAAAGCCAUCUCAGACCUGGCCGAGAGCAUCGACUUCAACAAGGACGGCAGCAUCGACAUCAACGAGUUCAUGGAGGCCUUUCGUCUGGUGGAGCAUUCUAGAGCCGAGACGGAAGCGCCGGCGUCACCCGAGUGAGCGCAGGUUCAUCAGAGC
Long non-coding RNA from Cyprinus carpio (common carp), 802 nucleotides. NCBI's taxonomy places the organism in Eukaryota, Metazoa, Chordata, Actinopteri, Cypriniformes, Cyprinidae. The record is from Ensembl.